GUGACUACAAUGCAUGUAUUUUAUAUACACAUAUAAAUUAUAUAAAUAAAGUACAUUGUAGUUAUUAAUAUCUUAUCAGAUUCUUGUUUAUAUCUUAUCCUCCUUAAUAACUUAUCUUAUCCUAUAAUAUCGAAUUCCAUUAACAUCUGUCGUUUUAUCACCACAGUUUACCCUCUUAUUUUUAUAAUCUUAUUAGAUUAUCUCUGUAUAUAUUCUCUGUUAGUUCUCCGUCGAUUAUCUCUGUAUACAUGUAAUUAUAAUAAAUGAAUAAAUAUAUAUAUGUAUAGAAGUAUAUAUAAGUAUAUAUGUAAAAUAUUAUGUAUGUGAAUAUAUAAUGUUCGAUUUACGAUAACUUAAUUUCUCAUUCUCGGUUAACAGAUUGAUGAUAGCUUUAAGCUGGCAGAUUUCUCCAUCAUUUUUAUGCAAAUGCGACUCCUUUCAGAGUGCAGCUAACAUUUAAUCCGACCCCGUGUCGCAUGCAUGAUAAAUAAGCGCACGUUGUAGUUACAGGUCGUAAUUAUCGCGGAGUAUCAUUCUUUCGUGCCAAGAAGAGACCGACCUCGCCGCACUGUUCGGCUUUUCCUAUCCUUACAAGGGACCCACACAUUGUUCUAGACUGGCAGAAUACCAACAUCGUCUCGUGUUUCCCACUGGGACACAACGAUACCUCAUAGCUGGAAAUAAUACGCAUCCACUGCUUCCUGUCGCUUUAAAACGAUUUACUGUACCUUUUCACUUGGGUCUUGCCUAUCUAGUCUACAGAACAUGUUCGAAAUAAGUACGUACACUCCUGUUUGUAAACAAAAUAGAGCCCCACUCGUUCGAACACCUAUUAGCCUAAGAACUGAAUCGAAAUUUUGAAUUAAUUAAGAACAGAUACGAUAGAGAAAUCAAUAUCAAUUAUGAAAAGUGACUUCCUUUAUUUCGAUAGACUUUUGACGAAAGACUCUUCUAAGGUAAAUACGUAGCAGUUUGUUUAAACAGAGUUUUUCAUCUACUGCAUUGUGCUGAAAUUCCUCUGCACCAUUUCAAUUUGUAAUUCUUAUUAAAAGAAUUAAAAAGCAAUAUUAAUGGUACACAGGUUUCCAAGUAUCUUUUAAUUGUUACUGAAAAUCGCAACGCCUGUAAUACGUAAUUUAAGGAUUAUGGCAUCUCGUUUGUUCGCGACUCAUCCUCAUUAAUCUUCACGCCUCUUUUCCCAUGGCUGCCAUUAUUCCUGGCAUUAGGAGCACGUUGUUAAUCGCGAUAUUGUAUCAUUCCCUCGUUAAUUGCGUUAAUUGACUCUGGUCCGCCUGGAGUGUACUAUUAUUUUAUUGAAUUCCAGCGUCAAAGACUGUGAUCUGAUAUGAUUAGUAAUGGAUUCUCUAUUAAUCAGAUUCAAAUGGCUGUUGAAAUUCAAUCGAGAGAAAGAGUGAGAAAGGAAACCGAUAUGAUAAAAACAAAUGAAAAUUUCUCUUAGAAACUCGUUGGAAAAUAAUUAACGACUCUCGAUCUUCUGUACGUUCCAGUCUAAUUAAAACAUCCCAGCGCAAACAAAUAUCCUAAUAUGUUCUUCUUUUCUACUUUUGAGAUCUUAGGGCGAUUGUCAUAUAGACAAAUUUAAAUAAUAAAAAGCAGCAGGCAAAUUGUGAAAGCAAACGCCGAAGUGGAUGUGAAAAGAUUGCGCUGCUUCGUACAAAGCGUGCAACGAGAAUUAAAGUAAUUUGUCUAGAACACCAAGAUAGCACAGUAUCAUUUAGGGCAAUGUGAUAUUAAUUACUAGCAAUAAGGAUAGUAAUAAGACUCAGAGGGAUAGUACAAAUUAAGACUACGUACAAGAAAGAUUGUUACUUAUACAGAGUGUGCCAAACUUAACUCUCCACCUACAACAUUAUUUUUGCUGACGUUGUCUAGCAGUUGAUCUUUGUAUGUCCUUUACGUAUUCACCUACGAAAUAGCUAAUAUGUAGUACCAAAUCUUGGUCUCUUUGGCGUCAUUUAACUCUUCUUACUAUAAUAGAAAGGUUUCUUCAUAGAGCGAGUAAUUUUGUAAUAUUUAGAAAUCAUGAAGUUAGUCAGCUUCGCCCUACUUAGAGUCGGUUACUUCACUUGCUAGGAAAUAAUUUCCUGUUUCCUCGUUAAUGCCACGCUAUUUUCCUUCUAUAUAUUCGCCUGUGAAAUAUGAACACAUAGUAAGUAGUAUCGAUGCAAGGGCCAAUGGUACUGUAACAUCAUUUUCCAAGAGAACGGUUUAUUUCCUUUUUCAAAGUUGAUGCCCGCGAUGUUAAUACGACAGAGUAAAAAAACUGACCUUUUGGCUUUGAUUUUCAGGUUCAAGGACAACGUUGCGCGAGCCUUUCGGCUGAAAUCUCCGUCAAACCGAAGGUGGUAGAGUCUUAGACUUUUAUCGACAAUAUUUACAUACCCUGUACAUUAGAAAAACGACUUUGUAGACCUUGGUAUUUUCGCGGCGAUCAACUUCAACGCUUCGAUAACGGAACAGAAAAGAAGAAAAGAAGGAAUUAAAAAUAAUUGAAAGAAAGGAAGAAGAAGGAGGAAGGCAAAGUUCACGGUUCGAGUGAUCGACGAGUUUCACCGUUCCGCUUUGUGUUCCCAUCCACUUCCGGGCUUUCAGAGGACGGGGAAAACAGAGCAGGAAGAUCUGUCUUCGUAUCAAGAUUUAAAAUUCCGUCUGGCGCUUUACAAGGAGACAGUCAAUACGAAGGUAUUACAGGGAACAGAGGCAGAUAUAGGAAAAAGAAUAAUGGAGUAUGCACAGGGGAUCUACCAGUAGUUUUCUAUUUCUUUCCUCGUUGAAACGUUCCUCCUACAGUAUCGUCGAGGAACGGUAUCGAUUCUAACUACUCUUCGCUGAUCCAUCGAGCCUUUACAGAAGUUCGUAAUUGGCUCCUCGUGCUAUGGCGAGAACUAUUUCCGGGCCACUUGAUUUUCGCGUGUAUAUCACGGACACUUGAAGGGAAAAGUUUGCUUCAAGGUAACUGGAGCAGGGAAUGAAACAUGGCAGGUAUUUUUAGAAGAUUGUAAACGAAUAAUUUUCGAUUACAACUAAGAAAACAGCGUUUUGUUCUUAAACCUGAGAGGAUAGAAUAUUGUUCUUAUUUAUAUAGGAUCUUUAAUUUAUAUAGGAUGGGCCAAAAGUCACGUCACACGUGUGAAUCUCUCAAACGACAAAAUUUUCAACGAAGAGCGUCUUUAUCGGACUACGGACUUUCAUGAAAAUUCAUAUUAUAACUUAGUAAGAGACUUCUAUCAACUUCUGUCCCGAGAUAGAUUUACGACAAGAUUCAGAAUCAGACACACGAAUACCCCCUAAAGAAAAAGACAGAAUCUCCAAUUUGCAGCUUAAGCAAUCAGAUAAUAACCGUCAUAUACCUGCAAUAUGAAUGUAACAUGUAGAGAAUAACAUAUAUAAUAAAUAAAAAAUACAAUCGUACUUGUAA
This is a long non-coding RNA of Bombus impatiens (common eastern bumble bee), 3439 nucleotides long. RefSeq lists it as uncharacterized. The record is from RefSeq and is a predicted model, not a curated record. NCBI's taxonomy places the organism in Eukaryota, Metazoa, Arthropoda, Insecta, Hymenoptera, Apidae. The transcript is spliced from 3 exons.